AGAGUUUGAUCCUGGCUCAGGACGAACGCUGGCGGCGUGCUAACACAUGCAAGUCGAACGGGGUCCAGGGGAGCUUGCUCCCUGAAGACCUAGUGGCGAACGGGUGAGUAACACGUGAGAAACCUGCCUCGGAGUGGGGAAUAACUCGGGGAAACUCGAGCUAAUACCGCAUACCCUCGGAUGGUCGCAUGGCCGACCGAGGAAAGAAUUUCGCUCUGAGAGGGUCUCGCGGCCUAUCAGCUAGUUGGUGGGGUAACGGCCUACCAAGGCAGCGACGGGUAGCUGGUUUGAGAGAACGAUCAGCCACACUGGGACUGAGACACGGCCCAGACUCCUACGGGAGGCAGCAGUGAGGAAUCUUGCGCAAUGGGCGAAAGCCUGACGCAGCAACGCCGCGUGCGGGAUGACGGCCUUCGUGGUUGUAAACCGCUUUCAGCAGGGACGAAAAUGACGGUACCUGCAGAAGAAGCUCCGGCUAACUACGUGCCAGCAGCCGCGGUAAUACGUAGGGGGCAAGCGUUGUCCGGAUUCAUUGGGCGUAAAGAGCUCGUAGGCGGUUCAGUAAGUCAGGUGUGAAAGCUCCGAGCUCAACUCGGAGAGGCCACUUGAUACUGCUGUGACUAGAAUCCAGUAGGGGAGCGUGGAAUUCCUGGUGUAGCGGUGAAAUGCGCAGAUAUCAGGAGGAACACCAGCGGCGAUG
Molecule: ribosomal RNA, 700 nt
Filed under: uncultured bacterium
Lineage: Bacteria
Description: bacterial SSU rRNA
Rfam family: Bacterial small subunit ribosomal RNA
Source: RNAcentral